This 97-nucleotide signal recognition particle RNA is filed under the name Pseudomonadota bacterium. RNAcentral describes it as "signal recognition particle sRNA small type". It matches the Rfam family "Bacterial small signal recognition particle RNA". From Rfam's summary of the family: The signal recognition particle (SRP) is a universally conserved ribonucleoprotein involved in the co-translational targeting of proteins to membranes. Archaeal SRP consists of a 7S RNA and homologues of the eukaryotic SRP19 and SRP54 proteins. The record is from RNAcentral. Lineage: Bacteria; Pseudomonadati; Pseudomonadota.
UGCGGGUCCCCCCUCGACGUGAAGUUGUGAACCCCGUCAGGCCCGGAAGGGAGCAGCGGUAGCAAUAGUAACGGGCGCUGGGGUGUGAUCGGUGCGG